GGAGUUAGCCGGUGCUUCUUCUGUGAGUGAUGUCCUUCCUGCCGGCUAUUAACCCGCAGGCCUUCUUCCUCACUGAAAGUGCUUUACAACCCGAAGGCCUUCUUCACACACGCGGCAUGGCUGGAUCAGGGUUGCCCCCAUUGUCCAAUAUUCCCCACUGCUGCCUCCCGUAGGAGUCUGGGCCGUGUCUCAGUCCCAGUGUGGCUGAUCAUCCUCUCAGACCAGCUACGGAUCGUCGCCUUGGUGAGCCGUUACCUCACCAACCAGCUAAUCCGACAUAGGCUCAUCCGAUAGCGCGAGGCCCGAAGGUCCCCCGCUUUCCCCCGUAGGGCGUAUGCGGUAUUAGCCUGGGUUUCCCCAGGUUAUCCCCCACUACCGGGAAGAUUCCUAUGCAUUACUCACCCGUCCGCCGCUCGCCACCAGGGAGCAAGCUCCCCGUGCUGCCGCUCGACUUGCAUGUGUUAGGCCUGCCGCCAGCGUUCAAUCUGAGCCAUGAUCAAACUCUGA
This 507-nucleotide ribosomal RNA is filed under the name uncultured bacterium. RNAcentral describes it as "partial 16S ribosomal RNA". The record is from RNAcentral.